This 253-nucleotide ribosomal RNA is filed under the name uncultured bacterium. Its description in RNAcentral is "partial 16S ribosomal RNA". It matches the Rfam family "Bacterial small subunit ribosomal RNA", at positions 524 to 776 of the family's 1533-position model. The record is from RNAcentral.
UACGAAGGGGGCUAGCGUUGUUCGGAAUUACUGGGCGUAAAGCGCGCGCAGGCGGUCUUCCAAGUCAGUGGUGAAAGCCCGGAGCUCAACUCCGGAACUGCCAUUGAAACUGUUAGACUUGAGGAUGAGAGAGGUGAGUGGAAUUCCCAGUGUAGAGGUGAAAUGCGUAGAUAUCAGGAGGAACACCUGUGGCGAAAGCGGCUCACUGGACCAUAACUGACGCUGAUGCACGAAAGCUAGGGGAGCAAACAGG